CCUACGGGGGGCAGCAGUGGGGAAUAUUGGUCAAUGGAGGAAACUCUGACCCAGCAAUGCCGCGUGAAUGAAGAAGGUCUUCGGAUUUUUAAGUUCUUUAGUUAGGGAAGUAGUCAAUGACGGUACCUGAAGAAUAAGCUCCGGCUAACUACGUGCCAGCAGCCGCGGUAAUACGUAGGGAGCAAGCGUUGUUCGGAAUGACUGGGCGUAAAGGGUGCGUAGGCGGUUGUACAAGUUAGAAGUGAAAUACCCAGGGCUUAACUCGGGUGCUGCUUCUAAAACUGUAUGACUUGAGUGCAGGAGAGGUUAGUGGAAUUCCUAGUGUAGCGGUGGAAUGCGUAGAUAUUAGGAAGAACACCAGAGGCGAAGGCGGCUAACUGGACUGCAACUGACGCUGAGGCACGAAAGUGUGGGGAGCAAACAGGAUUAGAUACCCUUGUAGUC
Molecule: ribosomal RNA, 444 nt
Filed under: uncultured bacterium
Lineage: Bacteria
Description: partial 16S ribosomal RNA
Rfam family: Bacterial small subunit ribosomal RNA
Source: RNAcentral